AUGCCAGCCAGGGAGGCAGAUCGGGUCGCCUCCAUCGUCAAUACAGCCGCCGCGCCACCACCCACCUCUGUUCAUGAGGAAGCCUCAGGAGGAGGCGAGCCCUCAUUGCGAGGAAGCCGCAGAAGGAGGAACUCAACUGUGUGUCGCCGGCCGGAGAAGGAGGAGGGGCGCGGAUGCCAACCAGGGAGGCGUAUCGACUCGCCUUCGCGGUUGGAAAGGGUGCGCUGUGUCCAUCUUGGUUCUGGUGAAUUGAUUUGGGGAACUCUUGAAAUCUGUUUCUUGUAUAUUGGCCAUGGUAAUUCUUCACCUGACAUUCUGCAAUGGCUUCCAACCAGGUAA
RNAcentral lists this ribosomal RNA (339 nucleotides) under Triticum aestivum (bread wheat). RNAcentral's name for it is "partial small subunit ribosomal RNA". Lineage: Eukaryota; Viridiplantae; Streptophyta; Magnoliopsida; Poales; Poaceae. The record is from RNAcentral.